This 468-nucleotide ribosomal RNA is filed under the name uncultured bacterium. RNAcentral's name for it is "partial 16S ribosomal RNA". It matches the Rfam family "Bacterial small subunit ribosomal RNA", at positions 28 to 507 of the family's 1533-position model. The record is from RNAcentral.
GACGAACGCUGGCGGCGUGCUUAACACAUGCAAGUCGAACGGAAAGGCCCUGCUUUUGUGGGGUGCUCGAGUGGCGAACGGGUGAGUAACACGUGAGUAACCUGCCCUUGACUUUGGGAUAACUUCAGGAAACUGGGGCUAAUACCGGAUAGGAGCUCCUGCUGCAUGGUGGGGGUUGGAAAGUUUCGGCGGUUGGGGAUGGACUCGCGGCUUAUCAGCUUGUUGGUGGGGUAGUGGCUUACCAAGGCUUUGACGGGUAGCCGGCCUGAGAGGGUGACCGGCCGCAUUGGGACUGAGAUACGGCCCAGACUCCUACGGGAGGCAGCAGUGGGGAAUAUUGCACAAUGGGCGGAAGCCUGAUGCAGCAACGCCGCGUGCGGGAUGACGGCCUUCGGGUUGUAAACCGCUUUCGCCUGUGGCGAAGCGUGAGUGACGGUAAUGGGUAAAGAAGCACCGGCUAACUACGUG